CCGUUUCCUGCUUCAACGGUGUUUGGAUGGACAG
Myotis lucifugus (little brown bat) is the source of this 34-nucleotide non-coding RNA. The record is from Rfam. NCBI's taxonomy places the organism in Eukaryota, Metazoa, Chordata, Mammalia, Chiroptera, Vespertilionidae.